GGCCGGGGGACUGUCGAUGUUAUUCCCAGACUAAAUUAGAUGCAUGAGCUCAGUUUUGGUAAUUGUAUGACGUAGGUUGAUUGUUGGAACCUAAAUCCUUUACGUUACGUUAAUAGGUCAUUAUAUGAAUCAAUGAUCCGACCGUUGGAUCGUCAUCAAACUUUUAUAUGUUAUAGUACGUAAUAUUUGAGGACCAUAGGAACUUACGGAUUGGGAAUCCAAUAUAGAAAUCUUCCGAAUUGUCUUUGGCAAUUGGUGAAGAUCCGACCGUUGGAUCGUAAUAGAACUUUAGGAAGUUGUUCUAAAAGUAUAAUGUGGACCUUUGGAAGUGAGGAUCUUCCGAAUCGAACUAUGUAGGGAUGUGUGUUAUGUAAGUUAUAUAUCUUAUUGAUAAAAAUUAUGAGUUGUGAUUUGAUAAUUGUUCUAAGCACCAAUCGUUCGUGACGCCUUUAUGGUUAUGCUAGGGAGUUGUAGCAUGAACUCCAGGUGAGUGGGCUUUUGUUUUCAGUAUAUAUAUGUAUGCUUGGUAUUUUUCCCAGAAAAUGCGUUUAAAUGGAAUUAUGUUUUGAAAUGCCAUGCCUCAUGAUUUAUACUUAGAUUAUGAGUUAUUAUAGUAUGCAUAUUGUGAUUUGACACUGUGGAUGCUCAAGUAAGUACCAGGUGAGUUAUAGAUUGUUAAUGUGAGUUGAUUAGUAUGUUAAGAUGCAUUGAGAGCUCAUAAACCUGCACACCAGUGUUAGUGCUCCCGCCCGUGGCUAGGGUACAGGCCUUCACGUGAUGUUCACCUCCCGCACCGCACGCUCACCUUGAAUCUAAGUGAGGUGCACAGGCCUGUCGUAUAAACCACUAUAGGUGGUUCCGACUCGUAGAUGACCCGCGAUUAUUCGCACAGUCUUCACGUGAUCGUAGCACUUGAGUGUAUUUAUUUACACCCAAUCUUGUCAUACAGACCACUAUAGGUGGUUCCGACUUGUGUGCAUGUAUACUUGAUGAGUUAUGGGUUCAGCUGUACAUGCCACAAUAGGUGGAUCCGGCUGACAUAUUACUUUCAUUGAUUUAUUUCACCUGGUUUACUCGUUAUUGAUGCUGAGAUAUUUGGCAUGGUAUAUAUGUGGAUUUUGCUAAUUCGAGUAUGGUUUCGAUAUAUGUAUAUAUUCUAUUUUCUGGGAAAUUAUACAGGUUUUACGGCGAGGGGUUACUAUCUUUAAUAAUUGA
Molecule: long non-coding RNA, 1215 nt
Filed under: Malus domestica (apple)
Lineage: Eukaryota; Viridiplantae; Streptophyta; Magnoliopsida; Rosales; Rosaceae
Description: long non-coding RNA (MDOM_LNC005015)
Source: RNAcentral